This 4711-nucleotide long non-coding RNA is filed under the name Eucalyptus grandis. RNAcentral's name for it is "long non-coding RNA (EGRA_LNC002395)". Lineage: Eukaryota; Viridiplantae; Streptophyta; Magnoliopsida; Myrtales; Myrtaceae. The record is from RNAcentral.
UGGAACUUAGCUUACAAGAACCGCUGAAACCUGGGAAACUGAUCCGACUAGAUGGAAAGAACAUAUGGCUUGACUUUCGAUAUGAACGUUUAUCCCACCAUUGCUAUUCUUGUGGUAUUCUUGGCCAUUAUGCAACGUACUAUACAGCUAUUCCCUUUGAUGAGACUAAACUUGAAGGGAAAGAUAAGUUCAACAAUGGUCAAUGGUUAAGAGCAGAAGUACGAGAACACAGUCCAUAUUGGCGAGCCUUUUAUGAGUUAGAUCCUACUCAAGAUGGAACAGAAGAAAUCAUAUCUGAAACUCCUCAGAAUUCAACUCUUUUAUUACCUCUCACUCUUCACAACUCUAAUCAACAACAAGCAAAUAUGGAAGUCAGAAAAAAUCAACUUGGUGAUCAAUCUACCUUUACUGUUGCUCCCCAAGAAGAUAUGGCGCUCAAGCUGAAGGCUCCUAUUCCAAAUCAGCAUGAAAUUAUUAAGGAUCCCGACGCAGGUUCCUCCAAAUCAAAGAAACCUAAGAAUUCCAGGCUACAUAUCAAAGCAAGUCCUCUUAAGAAAGCUAAAAGGUAUGCUCCUUAUGAAUCGCGCUCUAUGCUCACUGAAGAAAUUGAUGACUCCCAUCUUAUGGAUAAUCCGAUUUAUGAGGUCGACAUGGCUAAUAGUUGGGCUAUGGUGGCUUGCCCCCAAAAAGCCACCAAGUGACAAAUGAAGCUAAUUAGCUGGAACUAUCAGGGUUUGGGCAAUCUCCUAACAGUUCAAGUGCUACGAGCCCUAGUGGCCCAUGAAAUGCCCGAUGUAGUCUUUUUAAUGGAAACCAAAAAUCAGGACAUAGUAAUCCAGAAAAUUAAGCAAAGGUUGAAAUUCCCAAAAUCUUUUAUGGUGAGCCCAAUGGGUUUGGCUAUGGGAUGGUAAUUUUCUGGAUUGAUCAAGUAUCAUUAUGUAUAGAGAGACAUAGUAUGCAUUUUAUAGAUAUGAUAUGUACUAUUGGCCCGAGUGGACACCCAAUGAGAAUUACCUGUCUUCAUGCGGUAGUGGUAUAUCAGUUACGACAGAAUCUUUGGGCUGAAAUGUGUCACCUCAGCUACGCCAAUAACCUGCCAUGGAUGUGCAUUGGAGAUUUUAAUGAGAUAUUAUACCAUUGGGAGAAAGUGGACAAGAGAAUGGAUGAGCCCUACAGAUUGCAAUCUUUCCGGGAUUUUAUAAAUGAGUGUUUGUUAAUGGAUAUUGAGAGUAAGGGAUGUGCUUUCACAUGGGUGAACAACAGAGAUGGGGAGGAUGUGGUUAAGGAAAGACUAGACAGGGCACUAUGUACGAUGGAGUGGAGAUUGUCUUACCCCAAUUGCCGAAGUCUUUGCAUUACCAGCUCUAGGUUCUGAUCACAGCCCGUUGUUACUAAUUACUGAUCCCAAACCACUAAGUAAGUGCAAAUUUUUCACUUUUGAAGCUUUUUGGCUUCAAAAUCAAAACUGCCGAAAGGUUGUCACUAAGACUUGGGCCUUUGAAUAGCUACCGGACUCCUCUUUAGCUUGCAAGCUUCAGGUAACUUCUCAGGCACUUGAUAGGUGGAGUAAAUCAACGUUUUCCAACAGUCGUCGUCAGAUCCAUAUCCUACAACAGCAAAUCCAGCAGCAUAUCAAUCAAACAGGACAUAACUAUGAUAAAGCAAGGUAAAUCGCCUCAAAGAUGAAGUUCAACAAUUAUGGCAACCGGAAGAGCGAUAUUGGACAAUGAGGUCACGCAUUAACUGAUUGAGGUGGGGGGGGGGGACAAGAAUACCAAAUUUUUUCAUGCGACUACUAUACAAAAAUGACAAAACAAUCGUAUCAGUAUGCUUCAUGAUGAGGAUCAAGGCGAAUCAGAGACUCUGAAAAACUGAAAAACAUAACCAUGGAUUUCUUUCGCAACCUCUAUCGAUCAGCAGGACACCGAGAUUAUCUUCCUAUUCUAACACAAUGCCCCCAGAUGGUCACAGCAUAGAUGAAUGCAACCCUAAUAGCAGAGGAAUCUCGAGAAGAAGUUAAACAAGCUACAUUUCAAGUAGGGGCAACAAAAGCCCCGGGAUUGGAUGGCUUUAAUGAGUUGUUCUAUCAUACUUACUGGGAUGUUCUACAAGAAGACAUAUUUACCUUUGUGCAAGAAUUUUUCACUUCAGGUGUGAUGCCCCCAGUUUUUAAUAGAACACUUAUUACUCUAAUCCGUAAGACAUCACAUGCUGAAAGGUUAGAUCAAUACCAUCCCAUCAGCCUGUGUAAUUUCAUAUAUAAUAUAAUUUCAAAAGUGCUGGCUAAUCGCUUGAAACCUUGGUUACCUGAGUUGAUCUCCAAGGAAUAGAGUGCCUUCAUGACUGGUCGACAAAUCCAAGAUAACGUUUUGGUAGUCCAAGAGGUCCUGCAUUAGAUAAAAAUCAGGUCAAUAAAGAAACAUUUUCAGGCCAUACUAAAGCUGGAUAUGAAGAAAGCAUAUGAUUGGAUUGAGUGGGAUUUUCUAGAGGCUUAUUUGCGACAACUGGGUUUUCACAAUACAUGGGUUAAAUGGGUAAUACAAUGCAUAACCACAGUAUCCUUAAGUAUCAAAUUAAAUGGUGAGCCAUUACCCUACUUCUAUCCUACUAGGGGGCUUCGACAUGGAGACCCUCUUUCUCCAUAUAUAUUCAUCCUUGUAGCAAAUGUCCUAUCUAUCCUCAUCAAGCAAGCAGUCGACAUGGGAAAUUUGAAAGGGAUAAAAUUCAACAGGUGCUGUCCUACCCUCUCUCAUUUGUUCUUUGUUGAUGAAGCAAUAUUUUUCUUAGAUGGCCGUCUCCUUGAAUGCCAAAAUUUAGCGAAUAUCUUUACGGGCCAGCUGUGAAUAGAAAUAAAUCCGGUCUCUUCCUUAGUGAAGCUUCUCCAAGAACUCUACAGUAGAACCUAGUUAGAGAAUUGAGAGUACCCGUGCUUGAAAAAACCGGGAAAUACUUAGGAAUACCGUCGGAUUGGGGGGUGUCUAAAAAGGAUAUGUUUGCUUGGAUCUUAGGGUGGGUUAGUGCGAAGUUGGCGGGCUAGAAAGAAAAACUCAUAUCUAAAGGUGGGAAGGAAAUACUGUUAAAAUCUGUGGUUUAGGCUCUCCCAUAGUACGCCAUGUCAAUCUUUAAGAUUCCAGUAUCGAUCUGCAAAUCCAUUGAACAGAAGAUAGCUAAGUUUUGGUGGCAAAAUCAUAAACUAGAUUGGGAAUCCAUUAAAAGGGUUGGGACCUACUUAAAGAGCGUAAGGAAAAUGGGGGGCUUGGUUUUCGUGAUUUACUUGCUUUCAAUAAAGCACUUUUGGGUAAACAAGCAUGGCGUCUUCUCCAAAAUCCAUCACCCUUGUGGAGCCGACUAUUCAGAGGUCUAUAUUUUCAUUCUGCUGACUUCUGGCAUGCGACUAAAGGACAUAGACCAUCCUGGGGCUGGCAAAGCCUUCUCUUAGGUCGUGAUUCCAUUUUACCUCGGCUCCAAUGGUAUGUAGGUAAUGGGAAGAAUAUUUUCAUUAGAAAGGACAAAUGGUUAUCUAGAGGAAUUAUUGGGGGACCUGCAAAUAGAGGGGAUCCAGAGAUGGUGGCUGAUUUUUUACAUUUAGAACAGUCUACUUGGAAUGUUCCUCUUCUUAGGAGAAGUUUUGAUGACCAAAUAGUUGAAGAUAUUACUGCUAUACACCUAGGUCCAAUGUCCACUAUAGAUCAAAUUAUUUGGACAAGCACGCCAACAGGAGAGUAUACGGUGAAAAACGGCUACCACUACCUUCGACAUACAACCCCACUUAAUGAUCCUAACUCUGCAUCUACAUCAUAUCACACACCAUCCCGAUUAUGGAGACAGGUCUGGACUACAAAGACUUCCUCAAAAAUUCGAAUUUUCUUGUGGUCCCUCUACCACAACGCGUUUGCUACAAGGGAUAACCUAUACCGACGACACAUCCUUCCUAAUUCGAUCUGUCAAUUAUGCCUAGCUCAACUCCCUAAAACCACAAAACAUCUUUUUCUCCUCUGCCCAUGGACUCAGAGUAUAUGGUCCCAUCCCAAAGUCAACCUUGACAUCUCAGUGUACAAUACAAAUCGUAUGGAUGCUUGGCCAGCAGAUAUAUUCGCAAGUGGAAUUAUUGUACUUGAUCUAGAAACAAUUGCAUCCCUCCUUUGGUAGAUAUGGAAAGCUAGAAAUCAUGUAAUCUUUAGAAAUCAACGAAUAACGCCUGCACAGCUUGUAGAUUUGGCGUUCAUAGAUGCAGAGCUUCAUCGUUGGUUUCGGUAGACGGCAUAAAAAACAGAAACAGGGAAAACGUCAGUUUGUAACUCUCGGCGGUGGACUCUCCUGGAUCCAGGUAUUAUAAAGGUAAACAUCGAUGGGGCUUUUCCCAUAACAACAAAAAUAGGAUCCAUGGCAUGCGUUUGUAGUGAUCAUGCUGGGCAAUUGAUUGAUGGAUUCUCUCGGAUUGUACUAGCUCUCUCCCCACUACAAUUGGAAACUCAAGCCCUAAAUAUGACUCUAAAAUACCUGCUACAGCAAGGCAUGGGAGAAGCUCACGUACAGGUUGAAUCAGAUUGUUUAGUGCUUGUCGAAGUCGUUAAUGAUCGCUGAUCGCCACCAUGGGACUGUUGAACGCUGUUCGUGGAGAGCGCCGCUUUGAUCUCGCGUUUUCCUCAUCUGAGUAUCCGAUACUGCAGGCGUGAAGCUAACACAAUUGCAGAUUGAGUUGCCAAGGCCC